GUGCUGGCUUUGGCAGCACAUGUACUAAAAUUGGAAUGAUACAGAAAAGAUUAGUGUGGGUCUUGCUCAAGAAUAACAUCCAAAUCCAUGAAGCAUUUCAUAUUUUU
Molecule: small nuclear RNA, 107 nt
Organism: Heterocephalus glaber (naked mole-rat)
Lineage: Eukaryota; Metazoa; Chordata; Mammalia; Rodentia; Bathyergidae
Source: Ensembl